UACGGGGGGGGCAAGCGUUGUUCGGAUUUACUGGGCGUAAAGGGUGCGUAGGUGGCGGGGUAAGUCUGGUGUGAAAGCUCCGAGCUCAACUCGGAAAAGCAUUGGAAACUAUCCCGCUUGAGGGUCGGAGGGGAGACUGGAAUUCUCGGUGUAGCAGUGAAAUGCGUAGAUAUCGAGAGGAACACCAGUGGCGAAGGCGAGUCUCUGGACGACUCCUGACACUGAGGCACGAAAGCUAGGGGAGCAAACAGG
Molecule: ribosomal RNA, 252 nt
Filed under: uncultured bacterium
Lineage: Bacteria
Description: partial 16S ribosomal RNA
Rfam family: Bacterial small subunit ribosomal RNA
Source: RNAcentral